Molecule: ribosomal RNA, 253 nt
Filed under: uncultured bacterium
Lineage: Bacteria
Description: partial 16S ribosomal RNA
Rfam family: Bacterial small subunit ribosomal RNA
Source: RNAcentral
UACGGAGGGUGCAAGCGUUAAUCGGAAUUACUGGGCGUAAAGCGUGCGCAGGCGGUUCGCUAAGACAGAUGUGAAAUCCCCGGGCUUAACCUGGGAACUGCAUUUGUGACUGGCGGGCUAGAGUAUGGCAGAGGGGGGUAGAAUUCCACGUGUAGCAGUGAAAUGCGUAGAGAUGUGGAGGAAUACCGAUGGCGAAGGCGGCUCUCUGGACCGAGACUGACGCUGAGGCGCGAAAGCGUGGGGAGCAAACAGG